This 476-nucleotide long non-coding RNA is filed under the name Hordeum vulgare. Its description in RNAcentral is "long non-coding RNA (HVUL_LNC013530)". The record is from RNAcentral. Lineage: Eukaryota; Viridiplantae; Streptophyta; Magnoliopsida; Poales; Poaceae.
GAGGGGAGACGGCGCGGCGUACUUGGCGGUGUACCCGGCGGCGGUGGUGUGGGCGGAGACGGUGGAGAUGCUCACGGCGAGGCUGCAUGCCGGGCCCAGCCGAAGGGGCGCCGGCCACUAGCUACUCGCGGACAGGACAGCUUGGAUCGGUCCACCAGGAUGAUUGGCGAAUCCAUUAUUAUUUUCUUCAUUUCCGUCAUACAAAUUGCAGAUAGAACGAUUCUUUAAUACUCUCUUCGUUUUAAAAUAACUGUCUCAACUUUAUACUGUACUAGUUUUAGUAUAAAGUUGUACUAUGUAUCUUCUUUCCAUUCCCUUUUCUCGCUGUAAGUUGGUACGAUAGAGUGUGUGAUGGUUUUGCUAAAUCUCGUCGAAUUCGUUGUCGCUAAGAUUCGUGAUGUAUUUAAGUUGUUUGUCUAGUAUAAUUACAUUUUACACUUUUAGGGGUGUCUAGUAUAUUUACUGUCCAAAUACUU